This 445-nucleotide ribosomal RNA is filed under the name uncultured bacterium. Its description in RNAcentral is "partial 16S ribosomal RNA". It matches the Rfam family "Bacterial small subunit ribosomal RNA", at positions 354 to 796 of the family's 1533-position model. The record is from RNAcentral.
GUGAGGAAUAUUGGUCAAUGGGCGGGAGCCUGAACCAGCCAAGUCGCGUGAAGGAAGAAGGAUCUAUGGUUCGUAAACUUCUUUUGCAGGGGAAUAAAGUGCGGGACGUGUCCUGUUUUGUAUGUACCCUGAGAAUAAGGAUCGGCUAACUCCGUGCCAGCAGCCGCGGUAAUACGGAGGAUCCGAGCGUUAUCCGGAUUUAUUGGGUUUAAAGGGUGCGUAGGUGGUUUGAUAAGUCAGCGGUGAAAGUUUGCAGCUUAACUGUAAAAAUGCCGUUGAAACUGUCGGACUUGAGUGUAAAUGAGGUAGGCGGAAUGCGUGGUGUAGCGGUGAAAUGCAUAGAUAUCACGCAGAACUCCGAUUGCGAAGGCAGCUUACUAAGCUACAACUGACACUGAAGCACGAAAGCGUGGGGAUCAAACAGGAUUAGAUACCCGAGUAGUCC